Long non-coding RNA from Helianthus annuus (common sunflower), 407 nucleotides. RefSeq lists it as uncharacterized. The record is from RefSeq and is a predicted model, not a curated record. NCBI's taxonomy places the organism in Eukaryota, Viridiplantae, Streptophyta, Magnoliopsida, Asterales, Asteraceae. The transcript is spliced from 3 exons.
GCCAAGAAAAACAGAGCCCUUGCUCUAAAACCCUAAUUCGCUAUAUUCUACUCAAAAUCAAAGAGAGAAACAGAACUUAAAUCAGUUCUAACCUAAAUUCGUGAUCUUCAUACUUAGUAGAUCACAAGGAAAUUUGGGAGGACCAUCAAGUAAUCAAGGAGGAUCGGAUAACCGUUUGAAAGGAAAGCUUUAAAAGGUAACUGAAACGAACUUGCGGAUGAAGAUCAAGCAUUAUAGAAGAACCGAACAUGCGCGCAAAAGAAGCUUUCGCAAAAAUGAAAACUAUAACUUUUAUCACUAAAUACUUUGGUGUCGUUGUUAUCAAAUGUUUGUAAAUAUCGUAUCAAUGUUUUGCAAGUUAAGUAUGUGCUAGUAAACAAGAUGUUCUAAAUCUUUGUAAACUUCGU